CGACCGUUGAAAUACCACCCUUUGGUUAUUUGAGUCCUAACGCCUUUCUAUAAGGCAGACAGUGCAUGGCGGGCAGUUUGACUGGGGUGGUCACCUCCAAAAGUGUAACGGAGGUUUGCAAAGGUGCCCUCAGUACGGACGGUAACCGUACCGCAGAGUGUAUUAGCACAAGGGCGCUUGACUGAGAGACCGACGGGUCGACCAGGGCCGAAAGGCGGCUAAAGUGAUCCGGCGAUCCCGCAUGGAAGGGUCGUCGCUCAAAGGAUAAAAGGUACUCCGGGGAUAACAGGCUGAUCUCCCCCAAGAGCUCAUAUCGACGGGGAGGUUUGGCACCUCGAUGUCGGCUCGUCGCAUCCUGGGGCUGGAGAAGGUCCCAAGGGUUGGGCUGUUCGCCCAUUUAAAGCGGCACGUGAGCUGGUUCAGAACGUCGCAAGACAGUUCGGUCCCUAUCUGUUGUGGCGUUGGAUGAUUGAGGGGACCUGCCACCAGUACGAGAGGACCGGUGGUGGACGGACCGCUUGUCGUA
RNAcentral lists this ribosomal RNA (526 nucleotides) under uncultured bacterium. RNAcentral describes it as "bacterial LSU rRNA". It matches the Rfam family "Bacterial large subunit ribosomal RNA", at positions 2186 to 2717 of the family's 2925-position model. The record is from RNAcentral.